RNAcentral lists this ribosomal RNA (551 nucleotides) under uncultured bacterium. RNAcentral's name for it is "partial 16S ribosomal RNA". It matches the Rfam family "Bacterial small subunit ribosomal RNA", at positions 355 to 924 of the family's 1533-position model. The record is from RNAcentral.
UGGGGAAUAUUGGACAAUGGGCGCAAGCCUGAUCCAGCCAUGCCGCGUGAGUGAUGAAGGCCCUAGGGUUGUAAAGCUCUUUCACCGGUGAAGAUAAUGACGGUAACCGGAGAAGAAGCCCCGGCUAACUUCGUGCCAGCAGCCGCGGUAAUACGAAGGGGGCUAGCGUUGUUCGGAUUUACUGGGCGUAAAGCGCACGUAGGCGGACUUUUAAGUCAGGGGUGAAAUCCCGGGGCUCAACCCCGGAACUGCCUUUGAUACUGGAAGUCUUGAGUAUGGUAGAGGUGAGUGGAAUUCCGAGUGUAGAGGUGAAAUUCGUAGAUAUUCGGAGGAACACCAGUGGCGAAGGCGGCUCACUGGACCAUUACUGACGCUGAGGUGCGAAAGCCUGGGGAGCAAACAGGUUAGAUACCCUGGUAGUCCACGCCGUAAACGAUGAAUGUUAGCCGUUGGGGAGUUUAACUCUUCGGUGGCGCAGCUAACGCAUUAAACAUUCCGCCUGGGGAGUACGGUCGCAAGAUUAAAACUCAAAGGAAUUGAACGGGGUCAUA